GUGUUGCUGCAGGGAGCCUCUGGGAGCCCAAGGGUGGAGAGAUCUACCUUCAUCUGAAGAUCUCUGCUAAAGGUAAAGACCUCCUAACAGGCCAGACAGCCUUAGCAGGAGUUCAGAAGUCUUACACCAAGUGCUGCCUGUCUGAGGAUUUGCUGUCCUGCUGGCAGAGACAGGAGUCCUCACAGAGAGUUGUCCACACUGCUGCUUCACGGUCCCAAGGAAUCCUUUAGAGCAUUACAUUCCCCUGUUCGGAGUGUGGACAAGUGUUUGGCAUUCUGCUUCUACAGAUCGCUGCCGCUCGUGGAGCGCAGAGGGGACGGCGAGACUCCUGCAUCUUUCAGCGAGAAGAAAGAAGCCAGCGGAGCAGACUAAUACGGACUUGUGUCGGGUGCCCUUGCACUACAAAGGCUGCCUUUAAAAGAGGAACGCAGUGCUAUUUAAUGAGCUGUGAGAUGAGGCACUGCUGCUAACGCUCAGAUCCCAGGAUUCAUCGGCUAUUCAUUGUGCUUAAUGUACAUGUUUCUGCACCGUGCAUUUAGGAGAUCCCAGAGAAGAAUCCAAAACGGCUG
This 569-nucleotide long non-coding RNA is filed under the name Parus major (Great Tit). RNAcentral describes it as "lncRNA (ENSPMJG00000015720.1)". Lineage: Eukaryota; Metazoa; Chordata; Aves; Passeriformes; Paridae. The record is from RNAcentral.